ACAGAGCGAUUGGUGAACUUUGGGGUUUUGGACAGAUUUUGACCACAAUUCAGGAGGACACUGAAUGCUCUCAGGGAGAUUAAGCAAACUGCCGGUA
Non-coding RNA from Danio rerio (zebrafish), 97 nucleotides. Lineage: Eukaryota; Metazoa; Chordata; Actinopteri; Cypriniformes; Danionidae. The record is from Ensembl.